GUACCUACCUGGUAGGGGAGAUACCAUGAUCAUGAUGAUUAUGAAAGUGGUUUUCCCAGGGUGAGGCUUUUCCAUUACACUCCGGAUGUGCUAACCCCUGGGAUUUCCCCAAAUUUGGGGAACUGAAUAAUUUGUGGUAGUGGGGGACUGCAUUCAAACUCUCCCCUG
This is a small nuclear RNA of Phodopus roborovskii (desert hamster), 168 nucleotides long. RefSeq annotates it as U1 spliceosomal RNA. NCBI's taxonomy places the organism in Eukaryota, Metazoa, Chordata, Mammalia, Rodentia, Cricetidae. The transcript has a single exon. The record is from RefSeq and is a predicted model, not a curated record.